Argentina anserina (silverweed cinquefoil) is the source of this 116-nucleotide small nucleolar RNA. RefSeq annotates it as small nucleolar RNA snoR104. Lineage: Eukaryota; Viridiplantae; Streptophyta; Magnoliopsida; Rosales; Rosaceae. The record is from RefSeq and is a predicted model, not a curated record. The transcript has a single exon.
AAAUCACCCGGAAGAUGGGAUGUUAACUGAUACACCCUUCUUACAAAAUACCUCUAGUAUUUCCAGCUUGCAGUAUUUGAGAAAUAUCUAAAAAUCUCAGAUUCUUACAGAACAUA